This 28-nucleotide small RNA is filed under the name Bombyx mori (domestic silkworm). RNAcentral's name for it is "piRNA piR-bmo-1439253". Lineage: Eukaryota; Metazoa; Arthropoda; Insecta; Lepidoptera; Bombycidae. The record is from RNAcentral.
UAUGAUCCACCAGAAGCAGCUUCGAAGC